AGAUGUGACAACAGUCACCAAGUAGAGAGCCCAAGAACCAGUUUUAACACUGAUGAAGACCAAGUGGACUUACCUUAAUUGAGAACAAAAGGGGUUGACAAUUCCCUCCUUCCCAAUGUCAAUCUGAGAACAGCCCAUUGGAGAGAAAAGUGUUUGCAGAGCACACACAGCCCAUAUAGUGCCUCUCUCAUGGCCUGAGUGGAGGCCGAACCACUAAAGACAUCUUCUUGGUAGAUUGGGUUCAUGCAAUUGAGAAACAUGACUCAAUGGAAGUCUCAAACUAUUCAAGAAACUGAAGUAACUAAAGACAGAGAAAUAAAAGGUCACAGGCAGGUCACAGGCAUCUGUGCUAUCAAUUCAGCGCUUCACUUUCCUAAUGGAAUCAAGCUCCCAGAACAGGAAAGUGGCCCAAGGGACAUCAUGCAGCCUCUAAUACCAUCAUGAAGCCUGUUGACCUUCAGACAACUCAUCUACCCAGAACCUGAAACCUUUUGCUUAAACGCAGGAUCUUGUUUGUAGACUCAAACGGCAAGACUCCAAAUCUGGCAAACAGAAACAAAAGGGGCUCUGACAGGAGUGGCUCACAAGUCAAAACACACUAAUGAUUCCUCUGCAUCAUCAUAGAAAUUCUGUUUUGGUGAAAGUUUUCUGAGUGUUUGGUUUCUUUUCAAAUUAGACACAUCUUUUUAAUUUUUCAAAAAAAAUUUAAGAGAAGUGUUGGUUCCUAUUCCAGGAAUUAGUUUGUCUAGCAUGUGAUGCACGCUAGAUCUGACUUUGAAGGUAAUGGUUCUCAUAAAGAAAGUACUCAUAAAUGGUUCUCAUCAAGAAAACAAGAAUAUGUAAAAUAUGGUUGAGUAUUUUGUGUAAAUGGUAGGCAUUAUAAAGAUCAUACUUUUCUAAUCCUAGGCCACUUCUCAAAAAGUGAAUUACUGGGCAUCAUAGUUAAUCAUUCUCUCUUUUUACCACAAAUGCUACUCUCUCUAUGCACCAGUGAACUGGAAACACAACAAAAAUAAACAGAAUAUUUUGAAAACA
Molecule: long non-coding RNA, 1035 nt
Filed under: Sus scrofa (pig)
Lineage: Eukaryota; Metazoa; Chordata; Mammalia; Artiodactyla; Suidae
Description: lncRNA (ENSSSCG00035022749.1)
Source: RNAcentral